This is a long non-coding RNA of Thalassophryne amazonica, 236 nucleotides long. RefSeq lists it as uncharacterized. The transcript has 3 exons. NCBI's taxonomy places the organism in Eukaryota, Metazoa, Chordata, Actinopteri, Batrachoidiformes, Batrachoididae. The record is from RefSeq and is a predicted model, not a curated record.
CAGGCCUGUUUUCCAACGCUGUUAUUUGCAAGUAUUGUGGAAAUGCCUUCACUUUGCCCGAAGAAGAAGUUGAAGGCAACCUCCCCCGUGUACUUCUGUGUGGCCACAUCUACUGCACAUCAUGCCUGUGCACUAUUGAGUGUGACCGUAUCAUUCGAUGUCCGGAGUGUGAGGUUGAGUCGAGCCUUCCUGAAGGUGGUGUGUGUGGUCUACAGGAAGACAGUAGGAUCAUUGGC